This is a long non-coding RNA of Helianthus annuus (common sunflower), 3835 nucleotides long. RefSeq lists it as uncharacterized. Lineage: Eukaryota; Viridiplantae; Streptophyta; Magnoliopsida; Asterales; Asteraceae. The transcript has 2 exons. The record is from RefSeq and is a predicted model, not a curated record.
AAAUAGUCUAAUAGAUGUUUAGAUCAUGUACAAAAAGUUUCUUAAUGUUUCGGAAACCCUAAACUGGUUUUUAUGAUUUUUUGAUGACUAAGGGUCAAACUGAGUUUUUCUAACAAAAUUGUGGGGCCAUUAUGAGACUGAUAACUUGAUCAAUAUUAGUUAAAAGGAUUUGAAAUUUUUACAAAAUUGAUGUGCCAAACUUUUCUGACUGGCCUUGCAUCAAGUGAGUAAAUAUAGAGUUUUUUUAAGAAUUUUGGCGUAAACCACUAGUACAAAAGUGAGCAAUGGAUGCGAAUAACAAUUGCUAAAAAGUGCGGUUCACCCUUCAAACCGCAUCUUUUGAGCGGUUCUUUGCCCUUUUGAGUGUUUCUUUGGUUUCACGCACACCAUUGGAUGCGGAAGUUGUUGACCCGCAGCUUUUGCCCCCAAUUUCCCCCCACAAAAUUUCACUUCCCUCCGUCUUCAAAAAAAUUUAAACCCUAAAAACCUCUCCUACCCCCACAAGAAUUCAUUUCCCUCCGUCUCCAAAAAAAACUAAACACCAAAAACCAUUCCAUCUCCCAAAAACUUCUUCUCUCCGGUCUCCACCAUCUGCUCCCAAAAAAUUAAAUACCUCGAAGUCAUCCACCAUCCAUCGAAGAUCGGACGUAACAGACAACCGCCUCAAUCUUCCUUCAUCUUGAUGACGGUCUUAAUCGAACAUCACGGUUCUUGAACACAUUUGAAGAGUAUCCAGAUAUUUCGUGUUGAAGAGACCCCGUAGAAGAUGCGAGGGCACAACCAUGGGUGUCUAUCAUUGUCCUGGUCUCGGAAUCAGUCUUUUUUUUUCUCUCGGUAAUCUCUCCUCUUUUUGACCUAGAUUCAUCAUUGGUUUUUGUUGAGUGUUUGGGGAUUUAUGGUUUAAACUUUAAAGAUGACAGAUUUUGCAGGCCUCGUAAGUUGGGAAAUGGAUCAAUAAGGGAUUGGGUUGAAACCUUUUAUUUUGUAGUUGUGUGUAUAGAAGCCAAAAAACCUGGUCAAACUGAUGGAAGUUGGUUGGGUCUGUGGUUUAAUAAGUCUAAUCGUAUAGUCGGUUGGUUUAAAAAAAAUGAAAACUGGUUUACAAAGAAUAUAACACGAAUUGAAAUAAAAUAAUUUUUAUUUGACGUAUAUGCCAGAGUUUGUUCAGUUUCAAGCAUUGUUGAUCUACCUGUGAUUUCUUGACACCUUCCAAAAUCAUAUUCUACAACUUGCUGUAGCUUUGAUAGUCUUUGCUUAGGUGUUUUGGCUAAGCUUUGAUACCCACAUUUUGCAGGAUUUGUAUAUAGGAGAGGCACCUUACCACUAGGUAGGGGUGUUAACAAGGCCAGAGGCUCGAGAGCUACUCGUGAUCGGUUCGGUUAAAAGCUCGAACGAGUCGAGCCUUAACGAGCCCGAGCUCGAGCCUGAAAUACAAAGCUCGUUUAGGCUCGCGAGCCCAAACGAGCCUAAACAAAAUUUUAGUUUUUUAUAUGUAUAAUAUAAUAAUGAUGAUGAUAACAUUGGUGAGCCGAGCUCAAGCCAAGCUUUGGCUCGCUUAAUUGCUGUUGAAACGAGCUCGAGCCGAGCUUUUAGCUCAUUUGAGGUUGUUCUCGAAAUAGCUCGAGUCGAGCCGACCUCGAGCUCAAGCUUCAUAAAAACAUAACGAGCCGAGCUUGGGUUCGGGCUCGGCUCGGCUCGUUUACACCCCUACAACUAGGAUGUCCUUUGGGUAGGUUAUACAGUAAUUUGGUUGGUAUGGUGGGUGAGUUUUAUUGUUAAGGAAAUUGGGAUUAUCUAGUUUAUGGAGGUAUGAGUUCCACCAUUGUUGGACAAGAUCCGGCUCUGAUCAGUUCAUGGAAGCUUACUGUGAGAUACUAUGCUAUUUUCACAAGGAUGGAGUCCCAGUUCAAGGUAAUCUCUUUCUCUAACACAGAUUCUAGUACAUAAUCUACUAUUUCUUCACCUACAUACAUGUGUAUUUAAUUAUGUAUAUGUUAUAUGUUUUAUGCAGUUUAAUAAUAAGCACGAAAUAUGGUGUUUAAAAUCGAGAAAAAAUUGUUUAUUAUUGUUGAAUAUGCAUCAAUGCAACUUAUAUUACAGCUUUGGGAGAUAUGGAUCGGAAGUUUAACAAGUACCCAUAUUAUUUUUCUUGACACGUACAUGGAAAUAACUGUAGAUUAGUUUAAAAAGUAUUGUUGAAACAGUGCAAAUGAUCUGAGUUAGGAUCUAUUUUUCUUUUAUAUGAAUUGAGCUUAAAUUAACGUAACUUUUCUAACCACUUUUGCAAAUUAUUUUCUAAGUUUUGUGAUUACAGUAAUUUCAGGGAUUCAUGCAUGUUAACCUUUAUUGCAAAAGUCAUUGAAAUUUUAGACCAGGGAAGACUUUAGCUUAACUUUUUUUUUUUGUCCAACUUCAAAUACAGUUUAAGUUGAUGUACUUAUUGGUUGGAUCAUGAAAUAGCAAUCUUCAUUGUAACAUGGGUUAGGUAAAGAUCCUAGACUAUAUCUCUAGAUUAUUUAUCUGUUCUCUUUUUAUGUAUUAUGUCUAUAAUGUUGGCUGCUAAAUUGUAAACAUGUGAUAAUCUGUUUUAUGUACUAUAAUCAGUAGACAAUACCCAACAUGGUUUUAAGUGUUUAAUGGGUCCUAAGUUAUAGCUUCUAAGUUAUUUGCCUAUUUUCUCUGUAUUUACAACUUGCAUAUGUUGUACAUAGAUUAAGCACUUCAAUUUUUUGUUAAUUAAGUUUCUUGUUUGUUGACUUUUUUGUAAUAACUCUAUGUGAAAUAAGGUUGUAGUGAGAGAGGUAGGGGUGUAAACAAGCCCAGAGAGCUCGAGAGCCCAGUCGAGCUCGAGCUCGGCCCGGCUCGUUUACACCCCUAGAGAGAGGCGCGGAUAGAAAUGGAUCACCUAAAGAGGAACUUGAUCUUGACAUGAAUAACAUCAAUAUGGUUGAUCAUCAAGCUGAAGAUCGGUACAAUAUGUAUGAGUUUGACAGCGUUGAGUUAAUAUGUUACUUUGAACGGUUAUUAGUGAUCCUUCAUGAGAAAGAACUCACUUGGGUUGGGCGUCUCUUGCAUAAGCAUCAUACUUGUGUAAUUUCUGCACUAAGAGUCAGUACGUCUUUAAAGCAGCAUCCACUCAUAUGGUCUGCCACUGUAAGUUCUUAUAUAUUCAAGCAAAACAUAGCUCUUAUUUUUCAGAUAUAUUUGUUGAUGCUGGAAUAGGGGAGUGAUUCCUAUCAUUUUUCUUUUUCUGUCUCUUUAAUAAGAACAACCUACAAUAUGAGAUCAUUAUUUUUUGGUAUAUUGAACAUGUUGAACGUCUAUUUGAAAGUUUAUAGAUUCGCUCUGAUUACUUCUUAUUACAUGGGCUUUAUCAUUCAAUUAAAGAUUCCAUCUUAUCUUAUACAUAUAUACACUUUUAGACAAUUUUUUAGCUUCAUUUUUAAUAAUUUAACAUUAUGUUUUGUUAGGCAAUUUCGACGGUUCCUGUUGCAAGUAUUAAUUGAAGACAUAGGUUGGGGUUGCAAGUAUCAGUCUCUUAAUGACAUGUUUUUGUAAUGCAGUUCGUGCCGCUAUAGAGUUGGAAUUUGAUUUUCAUAGGGCCAUCUACAACCUCAACAUUGUUUAGGUUAGUUCAACAUUGUUUUGGUUAGUUUAACGAACUUUUUCUUCUCUACGAUUCUAGUUGCAAGUAUGGAUUGAAGACAUUGGUUUGGGUUGAAAGUAUGAAGACAUCGGUCGGUUUAGGAAGUUACUGUAUAUCACUUUCAUCUUUAGAGUUUUAUGUAUUGUUGUGUUACCUGAAACUUUUGUAAUAUUAGGUUACUUUGAAACC